This 438-nucleotide ribosomal RNA is filed under the name Cephalobidae sp. st14_10. Its description in RNAcentral is "SSU rRNA". It matches the Rfam family "Eukaryotic small subunit ribosomal RNA", at positions 1104 to 1563 of the family's 1831-position model. The record is from RNAcentral. Lineage: Eukaryota; Metazoa; Nematoda; Chromadorea; Rhabditida; Cephalobidae.
UCUUCCGGUUCCGGGGGAAGUAUGGUUGCAAAGCUGAAACUUAAAGGAAUUGACGGAAGGGCACCACCAGGAGUGGAGCCUGCGGCUUAAUUUGACUCAACACGGGGAAACUCACCCGGCCCGGACACCGUAAGGAUUGACAGAUUGAUAGCUCUUUCAUGAUUCGGUGGUUGGUGGUGCAUGGCCGUUCUUAGUUCGUGGAUCGAUUUGUCUGGUUUAUUCUCGAUAACGAGCGAGACUCUAGCCUACUAAAUAGUAACGAGAUUGCCAUUGUCUUUUGGUUGCUUCUUAGAGGGAUUUUCGGUGUUUAGCCGCACGAGAUUGAGCAAUAACAGGUCUGUGAUGCCCUUAGAUGUCCGGGGCUGCACGCGCGCUACACUGGCGAAAUCAGCGUGCUGUAUCCAUUCUCGAAAGGGAUUGGUAAACCCAUGAAAAUUU